RNAcentral lists this transfer RNA (70 nucleotides) under Lophius piscatorius (angler). Its description in RNAcentral is "tRNA-Phe". It matches the Rfam family "tRNA". From Rfam's summary of the family: Transfer RNA (tRNA) molecules are approximately 80 nucleotides in length. The record is from RNAcentral. Lineage: Eukaryota; Metazoa; Chordata; Actinopteri; Lophiiformes; Lophiidae.
GCUAGCGUAGCUUAUUUAAAGCAUAACACUGAAGAUGUUAAGACUGAGUCCUAAAAAACUCCGUAAGUAC